CAGUGGAACAGACUAUUUCAGGAACCGAAUAUAUUGUAACAGCGGCGCUGCUUUCAGCGUGAGCAGAUGAGAGCGAGUCAGAGCAGAUCAGCACAGACCAGACAGUUUCUCCAGAAAAUCCAUUGAUAUAACUGGAAAUGUGAAUGAGUGCACUGAAAGUGGAGCUUUUGAAGUCGACGCGUCAGCCUGAAGUGAUGUCGUCGGAGACAGAGAAGAGAGAGAGACGGAGCGGAUCCCAGAGUGUUGAAGCACUACCGAAAGGAAAAGGACAGUGAUUCCCAAACCACAGAGAAAUUAAUUACUGUUGAUGAGUAUCAAGCACAACCUCGACAGAGACUCAGAAGAGGCUGAAAAAAUGGAGGAAAACGAAAAAUUGAGAAACAAUGACAAAAAAAGCUACCAAAUCUGUUAAAUGAAGUGAAGAUGGCCCUGAAGUCUCUGUUUGUCAGCAUCAGUCACAUAACUUGGAAGAUGGGACAGGAUUUGCCACAGAGUAAUUACAGAGCCCUUCCAACAGAACAGGAGCAACGUUGCAGAAAGUGUCCUCAUGUGGUGACCGCCAGCAUUGGUACAGCAAUUAAUGCCAAACUUACUGAAAUUAGAGGGAAGAAAACAAAAACAUCUGAAAACCUUAAUGGUCUUUGAUGAUUGAUAGCCGUGACAGUGUGUUCAAGAUGUUUUGUUGUUGUUGUUGUUGUUGUUGUUGUUGGAGUGUGUUUGUGUGUGUGUGUUUUGCCUUCGCAAAGUUCAGUUUGAUAUCAAGUUGUAAUUUUAAAUUACUCUUGUGGAGUAUAAUUUGAUUGUCUUGUUGAUUGUGUUGAAAUAAAAGUAUUUCUAAUGUAAA
This is a long non-coding RNA of Megalobrama amblycephala (Wuchang bream), 844 nucleotides long. RefSeq lists it as uncharacterized. The transcript has 4 exons. Lineage: Eukaryota; Metazoa; Chordata; Actinopteri; Cypriniformes; Xenocyprididae. The record is from RefSeq and is a predicted model, not a curated record.